CAGCCGCCGCGGGAAUACGAAGGGGGCAAGCGUUAAUCGGAAUUACUGGGCGUAAAGCGUGCGUAGGCGGUGAGUUAAGUCUGCUGUGAAAUCCCCGGGCUCAACCUGGGAAUGGCAGUGGAUACUGGCUCGCUAGAGUGUGUCAGAGGAUGGUGGAAUUCCCGGUGUAGCGGUGAAGUGCGUAGAGAUCGGGAGGAACAUCAGUGGCGAAGGCGGCCAUCUGGGACAACACUGACGCUGAGGCACGAAUGCGUGGGGAGCAAACAGGAUUAGAUACCCCCGUAGUCCCUGUCUCUUAUAA
RNAcentral lists this ribosomal RNA (301 nucleotides) under uncultured bacterium. Its description in RNAcentral is "partial 16S ribosomal RNA". It matches the Rfam family "Bacterial small subunit ribosomal RNA", at positions 509 to 809 of the family's 1533-position model. The record is from RNAcentral.